GCUACAUGACCCAGCUGUUAGGGCAAAAAAACAGUUUUGAGAAUUUUGGCAAGGACCUCCUGAGCCUUCCCACAACUUUCCUAUUGACUGCUUUUUAGCCUUUUCUAUUUGUUUUUAUUCCCUGGACUGCUCUUUGUUUUGAGAACUGCUUCUGCUUGAGGUUAUUGCAAUAUAUUUUUAGUAAGAGGACUCUUAUUUGUUUAAAUCCUCAGGCUAUCAGUUGCAUUGCGCCAUAGGAGUGAUAUCCACCUGGAUAAUCGUCGUCUUUAUUUGAUUUCCUUGGAGAGUAGGCCAGAUUUUUCCACCACUGCUGGGUCAAAGUUGGAGUCACUAGAAGAGGAGGGAGGUGAAUUUAGAAGAGGUGCAGAGUUUGAAGACAUUCUUCGGUGCAGCUUCAGGCCAGUUUUUGCUUGGCCUCCUUUUCAUCACCUUGGCACCAGAGCCAUAUCGUUCGACAAACCAAACUGUGACAGGUAAGUUCUGCAACCAAUUCUUUCACUUUUUAGGGGGGUAACAGCUCCCACGUCCAUGGAGAGCAAGAGACACUGACCCCCAUCCUGUGGUCUUAUACUUCAAAGCUGGACACAUGAGCCUUGGCUAAAAGUUCUACCUUUAUAGCUCUAGGACAAUUAAGUGGAAUCUACACUUGGGGGGGUUUAGGUCACCUCUAAUCAUAGUUUUGAAGUCACUAGGCUUUGGAUUGACUUAAGACCUGAACGCUUUUAAACAAAAGAUUUAUUCUUAGAAUCCCAGCUGUCUUAGAAUCUAGAAGCCCUAGAUUUAUACUUCUAGUUCAAAGCUAGUAAGUACUAGGGCCUAGCACUACAAUAGGACACCUCAAUGCCUUUGAGCCUUGGAAGCCACUUGCCCCCAGCAGUAAGUGAAAGACCUCAAGAGUGAGUGCUCCUCGUAUCACAUCAGUCCUUUUGUCCCUCUGUAGUUAAGUAUCCCCACUCACCAUAGAGGAUUUUCACCACCUUGAGCUCCCUGCCUCCUCUUGCAUCACUAAGCUAUCUGUAGCCAGUGCCUCCACCCCCAAUUUGUUUCUGACCUCUCCUUUGCUGUGUGUCCCACAGGGCUCACUCCUCAGCUUCCAUGGACUAGAUUACCUCUAUGCUAAUGGUU
Molecule: long non-coding RNA, 1125 nt
Filed under: Phascolarctos cinereus (koala)
Lineage: Eukaryota; Metazoa; Chordata; Mammalia; Diprotodontia; Phascolarctidae
Description: lncRNA (ENSPCIG00000023467.2)
Source: RNAcentral